GUCUCUCUUGAAAAUAAACAUUAAAAGUUUAAAAAAAAAAAAAAGAAAUCUGCUACUCCAUUUCCAAACAACUACGGUUGUCUAGUUGUCUUUUUAUUAUUGAUUGCUAGAUUAAGUUUGCGCCCCUCAGAAAAUGUGCUUUAGUCAACUUCAAUCCUUUGAAAUUUGCUGAAACUUGGUUUGUGACCCAGUGUAUGGUUAACUUUGGUCAACAUUCCACAAAAACUUAAAUAUCCACAUAAACUUAAAAAUAAUGCAAAAGAAAAAAAAAAGUACCAUCAUACAAUCCAGCAAUUUCACUUCUGGGCAUUUAUCCAAACGAAAAUGCAAACACUAACUUGAAAAGAUAUAUUAACGCCUAUAUUCACUGCAGCAUUAUUUACAAUAGCCAAGAUAUGGAAGCAACCUAACUGUCCAUCAACAGAUGAAUGGAUAAAGAAGAUGUGGCACCCAUACAUACAAUAAAAUAUUACUCAGCCAUAAUAAAGAACAAACAGCAUGGAUGGACCUUGAGGUUAUUAUGCCAAGUGAAAUAAAUUAGAGAAAGAUAAAUACCAUAUGAUUUCAGCUAUAUGUGGAUCUAAAAA
Molecule: long non-coding RNA, 587 nt
Organism: Neofelis nebulosa (Clouded leopard)
Lineage: Eukaryota; Metazoa; Chordata; Mammalia; Carnivora; Felidae
Exons: 2
Source: RefSeq, a predicted model, not a curated record